AAUCCACGUUCUUUUCCUCUCCUCAAUUCCGCCCUCUCUUUCAACCUUCAAAUCCAAACCCCUAAAACUUUCCUUUCACUUCUUCCCCCGACCCCAAAAAAAUUCCCUCCGUUCAAACACUCAUUCUCCUUUACGCCCAUGCCCCCGACCACGUCCCCGCCAUGCACCCCCACCACCUCCCUUUCCAUCACCGAAACCAUAAACGGUUCUCACCGAUUCACCAUCCAAGGCUACUCCUUAGCCAAAGGCAUCGGCGUCGGGAAACACAUCGCCAGCGAGAAUUUCACCGUCGGCGGUUACCAGUGGGCCAUUUACUUCUACCCUGACGGUAAGAAUCCUGAAGACAAUUCCUCCUAUGUUUCCGUCUUCAUCGCUCUAGCCAGCGAGGGCACCGACGUUCGCGCCUUGUUCGAGCUCACCCUCAUCGAUCAGAGUGGCGAAGGCAAGCACAAGGUCCAUAGCCACUUCGAUCGCUCCCUUGAGAGUGGGCCUUAUACGCUCAAGUAUCGCGGCAGCAUGUGGGGUUACAAGCGUUUCUUUAGACGGGCAAUGCUUGAAACGUCGAAUUUCCUAAAGGAUGAUUGCUUGAAAAUUCACUGUACGGUUGGGGUUGUGGUUUCUGCAAUAGACUGCUCAAGGCUGCACUCUAUAAAGGUCCCUGAGUCGGAUAUUGGAGCCCAUUUUGGUAUGUUACUGGAGAAUGAGGAAUGUUCUGAUAUUACUUUUAAUGUGCAAGGUGAAAAGGUUCAUGCGCACAAAUUGGUAUUGGCUGCUCGUUCGCCUGUAUUUGAGAGUGAAUUUUUUGACUCAUUGGAGGAAGACAAUCGUGAGAUAGUUAUUACAGAUACGGAACCUAAGGUUUUCAAGGCUUUGCUUCACUUUAUCUACAAAGAUACUCUGGUUGAAGAUGAGGAACUUUCUGUAUCAAGUUCAUCUUGCAUGUCAACUAUAUCCGAUACCUUGGUUGCAAAAUUGUUGGCGGCAGCAGACAAGUAUAACUUACCUAGACUCAGACUAAUGUGUGA
This 1025-nucleotide unclassified non-coding RNA is filed under the name Hevea brasiliensis (rubber tree). Lineage: Eukaryota; Viridiplantae; Streptophyta; Magnoliopsida; Malpighiales; Euphorbiaceae. The record is from RNAcentral.